Long non-coding RNA from Bos taurus (domestic cattle), 2200 nucleotides. NCBI's taxonomy places the organism in Eukaryota, Metazoa, Chordata, Mammalia, Artiodactyla, Bovidae. The record is from Ensembl.
CACCCAUGCAGUGCGGCUCGGGAGCAGAGAAGGACAGAGUCCCAAAGGAUGCCUGGGGUCUGGGGCGUUUCCCUGCAUGGCAAGAAACAAAGAAUAAAACAGAAGUGUCUGCUUCUGAGAGAGACUCUGGGAGACCCUCGGAGAUGUGCAGCGUUACAGUGGCCCUGUGCAACAUGCAAAGGUGGACCCCAGCCCCGCCCCGGUCCCUGGGGUAUUGUAUUAAAGGGCAGUCAGCAGGGACACUGGUCCCCUCAUGUGAGGGCCGCAGACAGGCUCCUUUGGGCAGCCUGGUAGACAGUAGACAUGAGACUGGAGUGGGGAGUUGGGAGGGAGGAACACGGCAGCAGGAAGACUCAGCCGUGGAGGUCAUGGAGGGUGAUGAGGCAAGGACUCUGGAUCCCCAUGGAAGAUGCUGGGCCUGGAAACAGGUUCCAUGUGAGUGUGAAGAGCUCCAUAUGUACAAUGAAAAUCCAGUCUUUACUUUUCUACGUGAAAUCAAAUUUAGCUAAAGGUUCAUUGGCUUGGCUAACAGGAUGGCCCAGUCAGUCGCUUUUAGGAGACUGUCUCCAGGUGAAAGCAUUGUCCCUCCAGGUACCAAAAUGUCCCACAUGGAAUCUGUGAGUAAAGGAGGCAGAUGGUUUUGGGUAAGUUGGUAGGUAUAAUUUUAACCAUCACCACUACCACCCCUUGGGUCCCUAGCCAAGUGUAUUCUGGGAGUAUCCCUAAGGGAGAACCAGCAACGCUGGGGAGAGCAUAUGCUGCAUCCCUGCACGGUGCUUCUCCAGCUGGCGUAGGAUUGGCUGCCAACAGACCAUCCCUCCCUUCUCCUGAGCUGCCUGCUUCUGGUGUUGGGAUACCUAAUAAGGUCAGGGAGUCUCAUGCGUGUAAGCCCACGGCCUGGGUUUUCUCUGUAAAGUGGGCUCCGUGGUCAGAAGACAUGUCGUGGGGGAGAACAUAAGCUGUCCAGCAAGUCCGUAGAGAGAGUGGUGGCGACAGCAUGACGACAGCAGGGGAGCCACAUCCAAAUCCGGAGCAAGUACUUGUUACAAAGGCAACGGUCACCCUUUCCCUGAUGCAGAAGUUCCAGGGCCAUCAGCCCGCCACCUGGCAGUGGGCUCCAUGCCCAGAGUCCCUCACUGCACUAAACAUCCCUGCCAGUCACCCUGUCCAUCAGGUUACAAUCCUAGGAGUUCUCAUUUCAUUUAGUCCUUACCACUGUUCAUAUGUCCUAUUUUAAGGAUAAAAAAAUGGAGGAACAGAGAGACUGAGUAACUUGCUUGAGGUCACACAGCUAGGAAGGGGUGAAGCCAACAUUGGAAGCAGGCACUCUGGGUCCAGAGUAUAGUUCUUAAUGUCCACCUUUGGUCUCAUGGUACAUCAAGUAUGUUUGGGGCUGGCUCCCACCCCCAUGCCCCUUGUGUGUGUAGAGAGAGGGGGCAUUUGGCACUCACUCCCCAGGGCCACAGCUAAUUAUCCUGGGGAGGGUACCUGACAGGGCAGGCCUGAAACCUGCAAUCUGGUGGCCUGGUGGGAAAAGUGAAUUGCGCUGACCUAGUUUCUCUCCUGGAGAAGGCUCUGGCACCCCACUCCAGUACUCUUGCCUGGAAACUCCCAUGGACGGAGGAGCCUGGUAGGCUGCAGUCCAUGGGGUCGCUAAGAGUUGGAUACGACUGAGCGACUUCACUUUCACUUUUCACUUUCAUGCAUUGAAGAAGGAAAUGACAACCCACUCCAGUGUUCUUGCCUGGAGAAUCCCAGGGACGGGGGAGCCUGGUGGGCUGCCGUCUAUGGGGUCGCACAGAGUCGGACACGACUGAAGCGAUGCAGCAGCAGCAGCAGCAGCAGCAGCAGCAGUUUCUCUCCUGGGAAUUUGAAACAGGGAAUGGGGCGUUGAUUUUGGAAGCUGAGGGGGCCCUCCUCCUUGCCCCUCCUGAGACUGUCCCUGGGCCCCAUGGUCUGGGGCCUGUCCUUAAUCUCCCUUUCCUGAGGUAACUUAGACUCUGUCCUUGAUACCCAAAUGAUUCAGCUCAGUAAUUUACUUUCUUUUAAGAAUUUAUUCAGAUCAGUUGAAAAGUGAAUAAAAAUACCUCAGUAAUGCUAGGUGAGCAUUGACCUUCUAGUUUUUCCCCUUUUCAAUUAAACAAUAUGCAGAGGGGCUUCCCUGGUGGCCCAGUGGCUAAGAAUCUGCCUUGCAACAUAG